CUGGUGCUUGCUUCUUACGCCCAGUCUGGGGUGGGUGCUGGGGGUUAAGGCUUUAGGGCGCUUUUCAAUGGCAUGAAAUACCGUCCCUAUUGCCGUGGAGACCUGUUUUCUGUCGGACACCUAUAGCAUCUUUAUUUAGAUUGAUGGCUGUCCAACGGGGCAGGGUGAAACCUGCAUUGCGGUGCGGUGGCGGUUUCGUUCAUACUUUGGUCUCGGCCAAAAGUGACGGAAAAAAGACCUAAGUGCUGUGUGCAGAGUAGCCUGCCUUGAGUGGUCAUGGUGGAUAAAGUACCUGCCCUUUUUAGUACGGCCAUACUCUAAAGGGAAUCGAUUUUGAAACCAUGCCUGCAAAAGAGGCUAAGGGUCGUGUUGGCUGUUGUGGAAAUCACCUAGGCUGUCCUUUGCGGGCAGAUGAGGGAUUGCAGUACGGACUAAGUGGCAAUUCGGUCUCGAAUAUGGUAACAUAUCGACGCACCUUUUAAAGGGAAACCGCCAGAGCGGCGACGCAUGGUAAGUUGUGGGGAAAUCCAACCGAACCUAAGCCGUAAGAUUUACCUUGUCUGCUGUCACCUUUUUUAUCUA
RNAcentral lists this small RNA (582 nucleotides) under uncultured Butyricicoccus sp. Lineage: Bacteria; Bacillati; Bacillota; Clostridia; Eubacteriales; Butyricicoccaceae. The record is from RNAcentral.